GAUGAACGCUGGCGGCGUGCUUAACACAUGCAAGUCGAACGGACUCAUAUUGAAACCUAGUGAUGUAUGAGUUAGUGGCGGACGGGUGAGUAACGCGUGGAAAACCUGCCGUAUACUGGGGGAUAACACUUAGAAAUAGGUGCUAAUACCGCAUAAGCGCACAGCUUCGCAUGAAGCAGUGUGAAAAACUCCGGUGGUAUACGAUGGUUCCGCGUCUGAUUAGCUAGUUGGCGGGGUAACGGCCCACCAAGGCGACGAUCAGUAGCCGGCCUGAGAGGGUGAACGGCCACAUUGGGACUGAGACACGGCCCAA
This 313-nucleotide ribosomal RNA is filed under the name uncultured bacterium. Its description in RNAcentral is "bacterial SSU rRNA". It matches the Rfam family "Bacterial small subunit ribosomal RNA", at positions 28 to 334 of the family's 1533-position model. The record is from RNAcentral.